AGUGCGAAGAGCAGUAUGUAAAGUGCCAGACCUGUCGGGCAGAAAGAGAACAUCUGCAUACCCUCCAACUUCAGUUCCAAGAAGCUCAUGAUGUAGAUGGCAAAAUGAUAAUUAAGGUCCAGUAUCAAAACCGCAAGAAAUACAUCAAGUUACAAGCUGCUGAUUUCGAGAAAUUAAUUUCUGAAGUGAGAGAGAAGUUCUCGAUCCCUGUGGACAAGAUUACUAUGGAAGAUGAUUCUGGCACUGAGGUGGAUGAAUCUGUGUUUUCAGAAUUAUCCACAGUGGAAG
This is a long non-coding RNA of Micropterus salmoides (largemouth bass), 288 nucleotides long. RefSeq lists it as uncharacterized. The record is from RefSeq and is a predicted model, not a curated record. NCBI's taxonomy places the organism in Eukaryota, Metazoa, Chordata, Actinopteri, Centrarchiformes, Centrarchidae. The transcript is spliced from 3 exons.